GGGGAAAGAUUUAUCGGUAUCGGAUUAGCCCGCGUAAGAUUAGAUAGUUGGUGGGGUAAUGGCCUACCAAGUCUACGAUCUUUAGCUGGUUUUAGAGGAUGAUCAGCAACACUGGGACUGAGACACGGCCCAGACUCCUACGGGAGGCAGCAGUGGGGAAUCUUAGACAAUGGGCGCAAGCCUGAUCUAGCCAUGCCGCGUGAGUGAAGAAGGCCUUAGGGUCGUAAAACUCUUUCGCCAGAGAUGAUAAUGACAGUAUCUGGUAAAGAAACCCCGGCUAACUCCGUGCCAGCAGCCGCGGUAAUACGGAGGGGGUUAGCGUUGUUCGGAAUUACUGGGCGUAAAGCGCACGUAGGCGGACUGGAAAGUUGGGGGUGAAAUCCCGGGGCUCAACCUCGGAACUGCCUCCAAAACUAUCAGUCUAGAGUUCGAGAGAGGUGAGUGGAAUUCCAAGUGUAGAGGUGAAAUUCGUAGAUAUUUGGAGGAACACCAGUGGCGAAGGCGGCUCACUGGCUCGAUACUGACGCUGAGGUGCGAAAGUGUGGGGAGCAAACAGGAUUAGAUACCCUGGUAGUCCACACCGUAAACGAUGAAUGCCAGUCGUCGGCAAGUAUACUUGUCGGUGACACACCUAACGGAUUAAGCAUUCCGCCUGGGGAGUACGGUCGCUAGAUUAAAACUCAAAGGAAUUGACGGGGGCCCGCACAAGCGGUGGAGCAUGUGGUUUAAUUCGAAGC
Molecule: ribosomal RNA, 737 nt
Filed under: uncultured marine bacterium
Lineage: Bacteria
Description: bacterial SSU rRNA
Rfam family: Bacterial small subunit ribosomal RNA
Source: RNAcentral